This 557-nucleotide ribosomal RNA is filed under the name uncultured bacterium. Its description in RNAcentral is "bacterial SSU rRNA". It matches the Rfam family "Bacterial small subunit ribosomal RNA", at positions 102 to 694 of the family's 1533-position model. The record is from RNAcentral.
ACGGGUGCGUAACGCGUGGGAAUCUGCCCUUGGGUUCGGAAUAACAGUUAGAAAUGACUGCUAAUACCGGAUGAUGACUUCGGUCCAAAGAUUUAUCGCCCAGGGAUGAGCCCGCGUCGGAUUAGCUAGUUGGUGAGGUAAAAGCUCACCAAGGCGACGAUCCGUAGCAGGUCUGAGAGGAUGAUCAGCCACACUGGGACUGAGACACGGCCCAGACUCCUACGGGAGGCAGCAGUGGGGAAUAUUGGACAAUGGGGGAAACCCUGAUCCAGCAAUGCCGCGUGAGUGAUGAAGGCCUUAGGGUUGUAAAGCUCUUUCACCCGGGAUGACAAUGACAGUACCGGGAGAAUAAGCCCCGGCUAACUCCGUGCCAGCAGCCGCGGUAAUACGGAGGGGGCUAGCGUUGUUCGGAAUUACUGGGCGUAAAGCGCACGUAGGCGGCUUUGUAAGUUAGAGGUGAAAGCCCGGGGCUCAACUCCGGAAUUGCCUUUAAGACUGCAUCGCUAGAAUUGUGGAGAGGUAAGUGGAAUCCCGAGUGUAGAGGUGAAAUUCGUAGA